CCUACGGGUGGCUGCAGUGAGGAAUAUUGGUCAAUGGACGCAAGUCUGAACCAGCCAUGCCGCGUGCAGGAAGACGGCCCUAUGGGUUGUAAACUGCUUUUGUACGAGGGUAAACGCAGAUACGCGUAUCUGUCUGAAAGUACCGUACGAAUAAGGAUCGGCUAACUCCGUGCCAGCAGCCGCGGUAAUACGGAGGAUUCAAGCGUUAUCCGGAAUCAUUGGGUUUAAAGGGUCCGUAGGCGGUCGGAUAAGUUAGAGGUGAAAUCCCGGGGCUCAACUUCGGAAUUGCCUCUGAUACUGUUCGGCUAGAGAGUAGUUGCGGUAGGCGGAAUGUAUGGUGUAGCGGUGAAAUGCUUAGAGAUCAUACAGAACACCGAUUGCGAAGGCAGCUUACCAAGCUACUUCUGACGUUGAGGCACGAAAGCGUGGGGAGCAAACAGGAUUAGAUACCCGGGUAGUCC
RNAcentral lists this ribosomal RNA (461 nucleotides) under Escherichia coli. RNAcentral's name for it is "bacterial SSU rRNA". It matches the Rfam family "Bacterial small subunit ribosomal RNA", at positions 338 to 796 of the family's 1533-position model. The record is from RNAcentral. Lineage: Bacteria; Pseudomonadati; Pseudomonadota; Gammaproteobacteria; Enterobacterales; Enterobacteriaceae.